Molecule: ribosomal RNA, 714 nt
Filed under: uncultured bacterium
Lineage: Bacteria
Description: bacterial SSU rRNA
Rfam family: Bacterial small subunit ribosomal RNA
Source: RNAcentral
AGCGGGAAGUAGUUUACUACUUUGCCGGCGAGCGGCGGACGGGUGAGUAAUGUCUGGGAAACUGCCUGAUGGAGGGGGACAACUACUGGAAACGGUAGCUAAUACCGCAUAACGUCUUCGGACCAAAGUGGGGGACCUUCGGGCCUCACGCCAUCGGAUGUGCCCAGAUGGGAUUAGCUAGUAGGUGGGGUAAUGGCUCACCUAGGCGACGAUCCCUAGCUGGUCUGAGAGGAUGACCAGCCACACUGGAACUGAGACACGGUCCAGACUCCUACGGGAGGCAGCAGUGGGGAAUAUUGCACAAUGGGCGCAAGCCUGAUGCAGCCAUGCCGCGUGUGUGAAGAAGGCCUUCGGGUUGUAAAGCACUUUCAGCGAGGAGGAAGGCCAAUAACUUAAUACGUUGUUGGAUUGACGUUACUCGCAGAAGAAGCACCGGCUAACUCCGUGCCAGCAGCCGCGGUAAUACGGAGGGUGCAAGCGUUAAUCGGAAUUACUGGGCGUAAAGCGCACGCAGGCGGUUUGUUAAGUCAGAUGUGAAAUCCCCGCGCUUAACGUGGGAACUGCAUUUGAAACUGGCAAGCUAGAGUCUUGUAGAGGGGGGUAGAAUUCCAGGUGUAGCGGUGAAAUGCGUAGAGAUCUGGAGGAAUACCGGUGGCGAAGGCGGCCCCCUGGACAAAGACUGACGCUCAGGUGCGAAAGCGUGGGGAGCAAACA